RNAcentral lists this transfer RNA (71 nucleotides) under Pseudomonadales bacterium. RNAcentral's name for it is "tRNA-Trp". It matches the Rfam family "tRNA". Rfam says of the family: Transfer RNA (tRNA) molecules are approximately 80 nucleotides in length. RNAcentral also lists the same sequence under 1 other name. The record is from RNAcentral. Lineage: Bacteria; Pseudomonadati; Pseudomonadota; Gammaproteobacteria; Pseudomonadales.
AGGGCCAUAGUUUAGCGGUAGAAUAGAGGUCUCCAAAACCUUUGACGGGGGUUCGAUUCCCUCUGGCCCUG